This 381-nucleotide ribosomal RNA is filed under the name uncultured eukaryote. RNAcentral describes it as "partial 18S ribosomal RNA". It matches the Rfam family "Eukaryotic small subunit ribosomal RNA", at positions 592 to 976 of the family's 1831-position model. The record is from RNAcentral.
CAAUAGCGUAUAUUAAAGCUGUUGCGGUUAAAAAGCUCGUAGUUGGAUUUCUGUCAAGGACAACUGGUCCGCCCUCCGGGUGAGCACAUAGUUUGGUCUUGGCAUCUCGCUGGAAACUGUUGCUGCACUUGACUGUGUGGCGCAGCGUCCAGCACUUUCACUUUGAGGAAAUUGGAGUGUUUCAAGCAGGCACAUGCCUUUGGACACAGUAGCAUGGAAUAAUUAGAUUGGGCUUUUGCUCCAAUUUGUCGGUUUCUGGAGCUGAGGUGAGAAUUAAUGGGGAUUGUUGGGGGCAUCCGAAUUUAGCCGUCAGAGGUGAAAUUCUUGGAUCUGCUAAAGACGGACAACUGCGAAAGCGUCUGCCCAGGAUGUUUUCAUUGA